CCAGCCCCGAGUACGGAAGGGAAACCGCUGCCUCUGCCUGGGAGCUGCCACGGUCGGCUCCAGCCCUCGCGUCCGCGGGAGCGCGAUCCAGCACGGAGCUGGGGCUGAGCUGCGCGACCUGCAAAAAGCACAGCUCAGGCCCUGCCUGCAGGGGGGCUCCGGAUUUGCUCCCUUCUCCGCGGGAUCGAGGCAGCAGUGCCGGGAACCGUGCGGGCUCAGUACGCUACGCCGCGGCCGCCCCAGUGUCGGGCAGUUGAAGAUACUGCAGAGGAAAGGCAGGGACGGCUUAAAUAACACACGCAGCGUCAGCCUCUCAUCUUGCCAGCGCCGCGGCCAGAAACGGCAGAUGACUGAAACGUCCUGCGUUUUGCCAGAGGACCCAGCCGUGGGCCGCUGGCACACACAGCUUCCCGAGCACCGUCAGGGACGCGCAGCAGCGCCGUCUCUGAAAUUGCCUUUGUAGCACUAGGCAGACGUGCACAGAUUUGCAGUCACUUUUCUGAAGAUUGGACUGUAAGUGUCACUGGUCUGAUACACGGUGGAACGGAGGGACCCGCGAACCCGGCUCAGCCUGCUCAGCCGGGGGGACGUGGUGACGCCCGCAGGCAAGGAAAAGCGACUCUGGCGCAGCUGAAGUCUACUAGAAAUUACCCUGGAAAUCAGCAUCUCAGCAGCCUUCGGCACAAAGGCAGCAACCCCGAGAGGCUGCCUGAUUCCGGUCCCCUUUUGGCUGAUUUUUUUCCUGUAAGGAAGGGAGUGAAGCAAAUGCUCAUAAAGAGGGAGAAUUGGCAAAUCCUGUGCUGGGCUAGGGGAAUGUACCUCACCUGUGCCAUGUUCUUGAGGAAGCCCAGCCCUCCUCCUUGAGUGAAAGCAGCCAGCGAUGUGCAAAAGCCUGGCCAGUGUCCAGCACAGCUCAGGCAGAUCCCACUUCUGGCAAAGGUGAGAAGAUAGACAACGAAGAACAGAAAGUCUGAAAUUCUUUGAAGAGAGACAGAGAAGGUUGUGCUGCUUUUUCCUGACCACAGAACAGGCAGCAGGACCUUUGUCGUGGGCCAGGAUAACCCUUUACUGCAGCAUAUGCCACCACGUUAUCCCAUCAGGGAUACCAGGAGGCCAAGACACUCGGACACUGCACACCAUGAAAUACAAGUUUACCACAUCGGACUGUACUGGAAACCAUGUUCUGGCUAUGGAUCUUUUUCCCACCCCCUUCCAAGGCCCUGCAGUCUGGUGACACAGUGCUGAGACUACUUUCAGCUCGAGAUAUAGACUGCACUGAGGUGACUGUUAGGGGGUAAGCGAAGGCUGGGGAGAUGCUGGAUGGGUUCAAACUGAACCAAAGAUAAACCUUGCUUCUCCUCCUGAGCCUGUCCAGUGUCCUCCUCUGACACAAUUACAGCCUGUAAAAAUGCAGUUUUAACACUGCACUACUGUUUUAUGAGCAGAUUCUUCAAUUAAAACUCUUCCCUAAUGAUGGGAAUUGUGGUUUUGAACAACGAAAGGUGAGUCAGGUUUGUUCCCAAUAA
Rhea pennata is the source of this 1526-nucleotide long non-coding RNA. RefSeq lists it as uncharacterized. The record is from RefSeq and is a predicted model, not a curated record. Lineage: Eukaryota; Metazoa; Chordata; Aves; Rheiformes; Rheidae. The transcript is spliced from 4 exons.